Molecule: long non-coding RNA, 1394 nt
Filed under: Homo sapiens (human)
Lineage: Eukaryota; Metazoa; Chordata; Mammalia; Primates; Hominidae
Description: non-protein coding lnc-KBTBD2-2:10
Source: RNAcentral
UCAGAGCUUCCCCUGUGUCUGCUGUUUCUCAAAAUGAUCCUUAGCCAAAAAGGUGUGCUUUGAGGUAGCAUAUUCUGGUCUCCUACAGCUAUUCAACUGAGGACAGAGUAGUUAUGAAAAACCUCCUCCUGGGCUUAUCAAGGUUGGCAUUGCAAAUGGUAUGGUCACCGAACAGGCUACAAAGAAUGCCCUUUCUUUAUCAAAGACAACCAAAAGUUACAACAGUUCAGAGUAGCACAUGAGGAUUUCAUGUAUGACAUCAUACGAGACAAUAAACAACAUGAAAAGAAUGUAAGGAUACAGCAGUUAAAACAGUUACUGGAGGAUUCUACCUCAGGUGAAGAUAGGAGCAGCUCCAGUUCCUCUGAAGGUAAAGAGAAACACAAGAAAAAGAAGAAGAAAGAAAAGCAUAAGAAAAGGAAGAAAGAAAAGAAAAAGAAGAAAAAACGGAAGCACAAAUCUUCCAAGUCAAAUGAGGGUUCUGACUCAGAGUGACAAGGAUGUGACUUGUUCAACAUUCUCUUCUCAAACACUGACCAAGGAACAGAGGAAGAUGCAGUCAGAGAAAGUAGCAGGAUAGAGACGCCGAGAGAGGAGUAUAUGUGGGUCACAGCAGUGAGCUCCCACCCGCCUUGCAGUGAAGAUGUGACCCCAGGAGAGGGAGUGUCUCCUUCCAGGUGCUAGCUCUGGACAGCAGCUGAUUUUAGGCAGGAAAGUUUCUUCAUCGUUGUCCUCCCUGCUGGUCACAUGAGUUUACGAUUCCUUAGAAGUGUCUCCCACAGGGUGGCAGGACUGGGAGAAUCUCUGAGGCGUGUCUUCCAGGCCCUCCCACAGCUUGUGCCCUCCACAGUGUAGACUUGAACACUUGGCCUCAUGUGAUCCUUCCACCUUGGCCUCCCAAAGCAUUGGGAUUACAGGCGAGAGCCACUGGUUGGCUAAAAUAUUUAUAUUUACCUGACAUGAUUUGUUGAUUUGGGGGCUAGGGAGUUCUUAAAACAACAAUAAAAAAUCUUCUGUGGCUGCAUUCUACUUCACUUGCUUUCUACUGCCAGAGUCCCAUGAUUUUCACAGAGUGACUGACUCAGAAAAGGUUUAGGAAUAUAGGGGGAUUUGUGUACUAGGUCAGGUAUCCACAUCCCAAAAUCCAUCCCUCCCUUUCUUCCUCUUCCUGUUGCCUGACCACAGCCCACCUGUGCUCUUGUAGCUGAAACUAGGCCACAGUAGAGGCAUCUCAGGAGGCCAGGGUGUGUCUGCAGCUGGAGGAGAGGAAGUCUAUCCUUUGCUGCGCCAAAGUGAAGCGGAUCUUGCUCAUAGGCAAGUGUGUCCCUCUGUGGCUAGCACUGGUCUCUUGCUGCUUUAGGCACUCAGUCAGGGUCCCAGAAACUCACUCCCAU